Carassius gibelio (silver crucian carp) is the source of this 1482-nucleotide long non-coding RNA. RefSeq lists it as uncharacterized. The transcript has 2 exons. The record is from RefSeq and is a predicted model, not a curated record. Lineage: Eukaryota; Metazoa; Chordata; Actinopteri; Cypriniformes; Cyprinidae.
GUUAAUCAUAGGGCCUAAAAACUCUGCUUGUAAUAACCUAGAACACUGUCUAAGACUUGAUGGUUGCUCUGUCAAUUCUUCGUCAUCAGUUAGGAACCUAGGUGUGCUACUUGAUCGCAAUCUUUCCUUAGAAAGCCACGUUUCUAGCAUUUGUAAAACUGCAUUUUUCCAUCUCAAAAAUAUAUCUAAAUUACGGCCUAUGCUCUCAAUGUCAAAUGCAGAAAUGUUAAUCCAUGCAUUUAUGACUUCAAGGUUAGACUAUUGCAAUGCUUUAUUGGGUGGUUGUUCUGCACGCUUGGUAAACAAACUACAGCUAGUCCAAAAUGCAGCAGCAAGAGUUCUUACAGGAACCAGGAAGUAUGACCAUAUUAGCCCGGUCCUGUCAUCGCUGCACUGGCUCCCUAUCAAACAUCGUAUAGAUUUUAAAAUAUUGCUUAUUACUUAUAAAGCCCUGAAUGGUUUAGCACCUCAGUAUUUGAAUGAGCUCCUUUUACAUUAUACUCCUCUACGUCCGCUACGUUCUCAAAACUCAGGCAAUUUGAUAAUACCUAGAAUAUCAAAAUCAACUGCGGGCGGCAGAUCCUUUUCCUAUUUGGCGCCUAAACUCUGGAAUAACCUACCUAACAUUGUUCGGGAGGCAGACACACUCUUGCAGUUUAAAUCUAGAUUGAAGACCCAUCUCUUUAACCUGGCAUACACAUAACAUACUAAUAUACUUUUAAUAUCCAAAUCCGUUAAAGGAUUUUUAGGCUGCAUUAAUUAGGUAAACUGGAACCGGAACACUUCACAUAACACCGUACUUUCUACAUCAUUAGAAGAAUGGCAUCUACGCUAAUAUUUGUCUGUUUCUCUCUUGUUCCGAGGUCACCGUGGCCACCAGAUCCAGUCUGUGUCCAGAUCAGAGGGUCACUGCAGUCACCCGGAUCCAGUACAUAUCCAGACCAGAUGGUGGAUCAGCACCUAGAAAGGACCUCUACUGCCCUGAAAGACAGCGGAGACCAGGACAACUAGAGCCCCAGAUACAGAUCCCCUGUAAAGACCUUGUCUCAGAGGAGCACCAGGACAAGCCCACAGGAAACAGAUGAUUCUUCUGCACAAUCUGACUUUGCUGCAGCCUGGAAUUGAACUACUGGUUUCGUCUGGUCAGAGGAGAACUGGCCCCCCAACUGAGCCUGGUUUCUCCCAAGGUUUUUUUCUCCAUUCUGUCACCGAUGGAGUUUCGGUUCCUUGCCGCUGUCACCUCUGGCUUGCUUAGUUGGGGUCACUUCAUCUACAGCGAUAUCAUUGACUUGAUUGCAAAUUAAAACAGACACUAUUUCAACUGAACAGAGAUGACAUAACUGAAUUCAAUGAUGAACUGCCUUUAACUAUCAUUUUGCAUUAUUGAGACACUGUUUUCCAAAUGAAUGUUGUUCAGUGCUUUGGCGCAAUGUAUUUUGUUUAAAUCACUAUAUAAAUAAAGGUGAUUGAUUGAUUGAUCAA